CUUCGCCGUGGCUAAGGGAGGGCGAGGCGGGGAAUGGGCCCGGCCACGCCUGCAGCGACGGAGAGGCGUGGAAUGAAGCGGCUUUGCGCCCUCACGGCGCCCUCUCUACGCGAAAGACGCUUGUGAGGUGGAAGUUCACGGACUCUCGUGUGCAGCCUACACGUUUGUCACCUCACGCUUAUAUAUUCUCCCGCCCGUGCUUUCGUGAUGGCUUGCCCCUUUUAGAAGAGGCCUGAUAUGCGGAUAUAGGCUGGCGAAGCGCUUCCGUGGAAAGGAAGGUCUCCUGGUAAAUACCAUAGAGUUAAGCCUGUAUUAAAGGGCUGGUUGGUGAACUUGAAGAGGACUUUCUUCCACUUAGACCAGAAAUCAUUGCCAUUGAGGAUAGUCUCCCUAUGGCACGGACUGCAUUGCCUGUUUUCUGCAAUAUAACACAGAAGCGUCUGAUGAAUCCAUUCUUUCAAUUCCUCAUUUGUUAAGUGUUUGAAAGCUAAAAAGUGGACUAAUUGAGAAAGGACACAAUUAUUCCAGGCCAAGUGCCACAUCUGCUUGUAUUAUAAAGACAGUUCCUGAAGACAAGGGGAAAUGUAAAUGGAAGGGUCACAAUGUCCUGACAAGGAUUUCCCAUCGCCUUGUGCUAAGCAAGUAACACUGUUUGCACGAUACACGCAUUCUUAGAGCAGCUGGAAAUGGCAAGAACAGAAGGCAUGGUGAAAGUAUCCAAGGAUAGCCAGGUAUGGAGUAACAGCAAAACAUUAUGUAAUUAAGGGGAAAUGUUUUGCUCACGUUUAUGGAGUUCAUCAUACUGACCCCUUUCCCCUCCUUUCUUGGUGGGCGAUUCCCCACGGUCAAAAAAGCACGUGAUUCUCAUGGUAAAAGUCCCGGUUUGAGCGAGGAGUCCCCACGGCUUCAGUGCCCAACUCGGCUUCGUCCCGGUCCUGCUGCGUGCUCACCCCUUCACCCCGCAUUUUUCAAAAACCAGAAAGAAGGUACACCUUUUUGAAAAACCCGGGCUGAGGCCGGAUCGGUGGGGAGGCAGCAGAAAAGCAAUAUGGUUCAUUUUUUUCACAGAACGCGCGAAGGUUUUUGUUUUGUGCUGGUCGUGGUUUUGUAGGCAUGAACCUACAAAGAGAAGGAGAGCUAGCACUGAGUGUGUGUACCAACAAAGCUGCACAGCCAAAAAGUUAAAAAAAUAAACAUCCUAUCUUUCUAUGAAGCUGCGCAGCUGGAAUUUUUUUUUAAAAAAGACUUCCUCGAGCAGAGGGGAGGGGCUGCAGGGUUGCAUUCCUGCCCCAACACAACAGUCAAUCGGAACGAUGAACUAAAGAGCUGCAAUGCAGAUCAUGGGCUCGUGGAAAUAGUUACAGUUUUUGAUCGUGGGAUUAACUUUGAACCCCUCAACAGAUGCACGCUGCGGUGGGGAGGCAGAGACCAGGAUGAAAAGAAGGUUGUUGAUGAAAUCCUUGGCAUCGUCUGAGAUCUCAUCAAAAGCUUCAUCAUCAAAAUCCCAGGUGGCAGAAGUAACAUUGGCUAAGGUUUCAUUGUCAUUAUCACCCAUAAAAGGAGAAAGUCCACUGACCCUGAGAAUUAAAAUACAUUCCACAAUAGCAAGAGUCAAUCUGUCUAAUGUAUGUGUUGUUUCCAAAUGUAUACUUCUAAAGGCCAUGAGAUAAAAAUCAUUUUCAGAUGGUCUCUGUAAUCCAUGCCAGUAUUUAAAGGAGCAAUUUUUUUAGGUGGAUUAGCAUGGGCCAAAAACAGCAGUGUGAAAACGAUGCGAAAAUGGUGUAAACCCUUUUAUACCGUUUUAAACCAUUUUACACCAUUUUCACACCACUGUUUUUGGCCCAUGUGGAAUCCACCUACAAUUUCCUAUAGGAUGCAAGAAAAUAAUAAUGUGAACUGUGUUCUUUGUUGGUUUCAAAUAUCUGUCAAACUGUGAACAAAAAGAAAAAUAUCAUUUAGCCACUAGAGGGAACCAAAAACCUGGAAUAGUCUUUUGAAUUAAAAAAAAAUCCAGAUGUUUCAUAUCAUACAUGAACCUUUCAUCCUUAUUUAGAAUUAUUUCCAUUUCACACGUCUCACUACAAAAAAAACUCAUAAUGUAGAGGAUAAUAAAAUCAAUGGAUAACAUCAUUGUGAGACCUCAACAAUUUUAGGAUUGGUGUUCUGAUAUGAAAGUAGUUCAGUAUCGACUUUAUAACUUGCAAUUGUACAAACCCUAAUUAAAUGGCUGCCUACACCUCAGGUAGUUUCAUAUGGAGUUGAUUUUCUGGUCCCAGGGAAUAUGAAAUACAAUACAAUACUUUUUCAUCAACCCAAGCUACUGUUAAAUCAUGAAUGCUUUGAGUCACAUCGAACAUUUUUCUAGACAUGAAGUAAAAUAGCUACUUUUUUUUUUCCAGCUCAGCUAUAUAGAAAUUAAGGGUCAGUAUUAAUGUAAUUAAUCUGUAUUUAGUUGAGGUCAACACCCCCAACCUGUCCAACCUCUCCCACCCUCAAGCCACAUCCCAGAACCAGAUAGGUGGCAAGAAUAAUUUGAUUUGCUGUUUAUUGCUGAUGUUGCCAAUUUUACGACUAUUGUUUUAUGCCUUCGGGGCAGGGUGGUAUACAAAUUAAACAUUCCAUUCCAAAUAAAUUUAAGAAUGAAUAAACAUAGGCCUGCAUAGAGAAAGAAGAACUGGCAGAAACGAGAUCCCUCGAUUAGUUGGAACAAAAGUGGCUUUGGUUUGUGCCAGGCAACUGUUGCGUCCUAGCCACAGUAUUUAAAAAAGAUAAUUACAUAUUACAAUCUCCCUCUGACAUUGUGGUUUGGAUCCAACAGGUUUCAGAUCGCAUGUGACCUUUGUUGUUUCCAUAGGAAGGUGUUUCUUUGCCUUGGCUUCCGAACUGGACCACUUUUCUGGAUCAUCAACAGCAUGUCUAGUCAUCCUGUGCCCACGUUUUUCUUGUCCUAUGUAUGCCCCUUCCUGUUUUAGUAUGAUCAUUUUCUAAAUAUGUUGGCACAUUGUGCAGAAGAAACAGUAUUCAGUUUCCUGCUGUGAAAACCCCAUCCACAUUGGCACCAUUUUCCUGCUAUCAGCCCCUCCUUCACAGGUGCCAUUUUCUCAAAAUAGUUUUCCUUGCUAUGCCAUGACAUCGGUUUUAGCAGGUUAAGAUUCUUUUAAUUAAUGCUGUGCUAAAUUGAUAUAAUAAUCUGUUGCUACAUCUAUUUUGGUUUCUACUGAAAUUCUAGUUUCAUUUUAAUGAAGUAUGCAGGCUUUUUCAUUGCAGAGAUAACAAGAAAAAUUGAGAAAGGUUUUGUUCUGAUUGCCUGGAAAGGAAUGGAGAGGCUACAUCAGCCAGAGAGAUAUUAUUUGUAUGUCAAUACUAUUGCCACAUCUAUUACAAGUUUUAGUGCAACUGUUAUAGUACACAUGUUAAGAACAGAACCCAAAAAAGGGUGGGUGCACUGUCACCGCAGGUGUGAUGACGGUUAUGACACAGAUGACACAAUGCCCACUUGCUGUCUAAUAGGUGUGUGGAAACUCUUGUCACCAGUGUGUACGCCUCUGCGUUCAUAGUGGUGAUGAAAGCAACAUGAAGAAUACUUGCCAUGUGGAACUAGCUCUUUAUACAAGAAGUAACUUGCAUGCUAUUUAUCAGUGACUAAGUUGUUCUUACUUGGAUUUAUUGUUGAAUGUUUGAAUAAACGGUUGCAGUUCUUGGAA
Long non-coding RNA from Sphaerodactylus townsendi, 3704 nucleotides. RefSeq lists it as uncharacterized. The record is from RefSeq and is a predicted model, not a curated record. The transcript has 3 exons. NCBI's taxonomy places the organism in Eukaryota, Metazoa, Chordata, Lepidosauria, Squamata, Sphaerodactylidae.